GCAUAGGUAGUGUAAUGGAUAAGCACAACAGACCGAAUAUUUGUAGAUGCGGGUUCGAGACCCGUCUGAGGUC
RNAcentral lists this transfer RNA (73 nucleotides) under Dictyocaulus viviparus (bovine lungworm). It matches the Rfam family "tRNA". Rfam says of the family: Transfer RNA (tRNA) molecules are approximately 80 nucleotides in length. Their secondary structure includes four short double-helical elements and three loops (D, anti-codon, and T loops). Lineage: Eukaryota; Metazoa; Nematoda; Chromadorea; Rhabditida; Metastrongylidae. The record is from Rfam by way of RNAcentral.